GAUGAACGCUAGCUACAGGCUUAACACAUGCAAGUCGAGGGGCAGCAUGAACUUAGCUUGCUAAGUUUGAUGGCGACCGGCGCACGGGUGAGUAACACGUAUCCAACCUGCCGAUGACUCGGGGAUAGCCUUUCGAAAGAAAGAUUAAUACCCGAUGGCAUAAUUCUUCCGCAUGGUAGAACUAUUAAAGAAUUUCGGUCAUCGAUGGGGAUGCGUUCCAUUAGGUUGUUGGCGGGGUAACGGCCCACCAAGCCUUCGAUGGAUAGGGGUUCUGAGAGGAAGGUCCCCCACAUUGGAACUGAGACACGGUCCAAACUCCUACGGGAGGCAGCAGUGAGGAAUAUUGGUCAAUGGACGAGAGUCUGAACCAGCCAAGUAGCGUGAAGGAUGACUGCCCUAUGGGUUGUAAACUUCUUUUAUACGGGAAUAAAGUGAGGCACGUGUGCCUUUUUGUAUGUACCGUAUGAAUAA
Molecule: ribosomal RNA, 471 nt
Filed under: uncultured bacterium
Lineage: Bacteria
Description: bacterial SSU rRNA
Rfam family: Bacterial small subunit ribosomal RNA
Source: RNAcentral